UAUAUAUAUAUAUAUAUAUAUAUAAUAUAUAAUAUAAUAUAUAAUAUAAAAAUUGGCCACAUUAACAUGUACAAAGUGGCUGGACAAAUGACAAUCUUGCGGAAGACUGUAGGAUACCCCCGGAAAUUUGAAUGAAGAUCCUGAAUUCUUCCUUCAUCUAAAUUGAUUCCACAAAACUUUCCAACGCACUAUACGACACAUGUACAAAUACGACCAACAUACUCAAAGGGUGGAAUAUGACUAUGAUUCAAAGGACUUUCAAAUCCUUCCAUCAUUGUGUCCACUGAAAAAUUCACCUAGCUAACGACUGAUCCAAAGUGAGAAGGCAACCN
RNAcentral lists this long non-coding RNA (332 nucleotides) under Theobroma cacao (cacao). Its description in RNAcentral is "long non-coding RNA (TCAC_LNC003804)". Lineage: Eukaryota; Viridiplantae; Streptophyta; Magnoliopsida; Malvales; Malvaceae. The record is from RNAcentral.